UGCCGCAUGGCUGAGUUGGUCACAGCGUCCGACUUGUUAUAAGUACAGUAUUGUGUAUGAUAACAUCGGAAGGUCGAGAGUUCGAGCCUCUCUGGGGCAG
This is a non-coding RNA of Rhodocollybia butyracea, 100 nucleotides long. The record is from the annotation of a GenBank genome assembly. Lineage: Eukaryota; Fungi; Basidiomycota; Agaricomycetes; Agaricales; Omphalotaceae.